UGGGGAAUAUUGGACAAUGGGCGAAAGCCUGAUCCAGCCAUGCCGCGUGUGUGAAGAAGGUCUUCGGAUUGUAAAGCACUUUCAGCGAGGAGGAAAGGUUGUUGGCUAAUACCCAGCAACUGUGACGUUACUCGCAGAAGAAGCACCGGCUAACUCCGUGC
This 161-nucleotide ribosomal RNA is filed under the name uncultured bacterium. Its description in RNAcentral is "partial 16S ribosomal RNA". It matches the Rfam family "Bacterial small subunit ribosomal RNA", at positions 355 to 508 of the family's 1533-position model. The record is from RNAcentral.